This 549-nucleotide ribosomal RNA is filed under the name uncultured bacterium. RNAcentral describes it as "partial 16S ribosomal RNA". The record is from RNAcentral.
GGAGUUAGCCGGUGCUUCUUCUGUGAGUGAUGUCCUUCCUGCCGGCUAUUAACCCGCAGGCCUUCUUCCUCACUGAAAGUGCUUUACAACCCGAAGGCCUUCUUCACACACGCGGCAUGGCUGGAUCAGGGUUGCCCCCAUUGUCCAAUAUUCCCCACUGCUGCCUCCCGUAGGAGUCUGGGCCGUGUCUCAGUCCCAGUGUGGCUGAUCAUCCUCUCAGACCAGCUACGGAUCGUCGCCUUGGUGAGCCGUUACCUCACCAACCAGCUAAUCCGACAUAGGCUCAUCCGAUAGCGCGAGGCCCGAAGGUCCCCCGCUUUCCCCCGUAGGGCGUAUGCGGUAUUAGCCUGGGUUUCCCCAGGUUAUCCCCCACUACCGGGCAGAUUCCUAUGCAUUACUCACCCGUCCGCCGCUCGCCACCAGGGAGCAAGCUCCCCGUGCUGCCGCUCGACUUGCAUGUGUUAGGCCUGCCGCCAGCGUUCAAUCUGAGCCAUAGANAACAACUCGUACGUACUAGACGGCGGUCGUCGGACGACGGCGACUAAGUAG